This is a non-coding RNA of Paramisgurnus dabryanus, 2716 nucleotides long. NCBI's taxonomy places the organism in Eukaryota, Metazoa, Chordata, Actinopteri, Cypriniformes, Cobitidae. The record is from RefSeq and is a predicted model, not a curated record.
GGCAUAUAGAAAUAAUAAAAAGUGCUUUUUUGUUUAUUUAUGCACAAUUUACUGCACUUUCUUAUAGCACUAUCCCUAUUUUCAGUCCAAUAUGAGUCAACAUUAUUGCCACAUUUUUAACUCUAUUUGAGUCUUUUUUAAUAAGUGUGAAAUACAAGGUAAGUCACUUAAAUUGACUUUAUUUGAAAAUGGGGAACAAAACUUCCUCCAAAACACACAAACACAACAUAUCAGGAAUGUGAAUAAUGUCCUGGUUAAAUGGGGCAGACAAGAUUCUGAUUGGCUGAAGGGGCUGUCAGCACUGUGUUUUGAAGCUUGUGGCCAGAUUAGAUGAGAGAAUAGGAGAAUCGUGGCAGUCAAAAGAGGUACUAAGCUAGCAGAAAGGACUAACUUUAAGUCUUGAGAUAAGCCUUCAGACUCUGCCAUGACAUUAACUGAGAUUAUCUUAAUUUUGGCUGGAACUUGCACUGUCAUGCUUUUUGGAGUGAAACUAAUAUGUUUUGUCAUGGUGCUUGCCCCGAAGCUCUGCUAUCCUCUUCCUGAGUCUUUUAUGACCUCUCUGGGAAAAUGGGCAGUGAUCACUGGAGGUUCAGAUGGAAUAGGAAGAGCAUAUGCACAAGAGCUUUCAAAAUACGGCUUGAAUGUGGUCAUCAUCAGCAGAAAUCAAGAGAAGCUCGACAGGGCAGCCAGGACUAUAGAACUUGCUACAGGAGUGCAGGUCAAAGUAAUAGCUGCUGACUUCACCAAAGAUAAUAUAUACGGACACAUUAUGGAACGUAUAGAGGGUCUGGAUAUUGGUAUUUUAGUGAAUAAUGUUGGCAUUCUGCCCAACCAAAUACCUUGCAGGCUGCUUGAAACAGCAGGUUUGGAAGAGAGAAUAUAUGAUGUUAUAAACUGCAAUGUGAAAGCUAUGGUUAAGAUGUGCAGUAUUGUGCUACCAGGAAUGCAGGAAAGAGGAAGAGGAGCCGUUUUGAAUGUGUCUUCUGGCAUAGCCAAAAUACCCUUCCCUCUUUACACCUUGUAUGCAGCAUCUAAGGUUUUCGUUGAGAGAUUUUCACAGGGUCUUCAAGCAGAAUAUAGAUCCAAGGGAAUUAUCAUUCAGUCUCCUUUCUCAGACAGUGGCUCCAUUCGGGGUUUCAACAUCAAUGACAUUAUAUCAAAAGCCAGAUUUGGUCACAUUUACAGCUGAGGAUUUUGUGAGGAGCUCCCUAAAGUAUCUGAGGGCUGGUGAUCAAACAUACGGAAGCAUCACUCAUACAAUAUUGGGCUGGAUUUUGCAGGCCAUUCCCACAUGGGUCCUACGGAGUAAAGCGUUCCAGCAUAACUUUGAGGAAUAUGUGAAGGAGCAGAUUGGAAGAUGAACAUAUGUUCUCUAUGUAUAUACAUAAAGUAUUGACACUGUUGUGUUGUUUGCACUAAUUGACAAUAGCUGCAUCCAUUUCAUGGCUUUUUAGGUAUGCAGUUGUGUAGUAUGAAAACAUUUCUUUUACAUACAUUAUUUGAUCUAUGAUGUAAUUAUAAAUGUUUGAAAGCUCCUCUUCACGACCACUUUGUUCUCAUGGGGAGACGACAAAAUGAAGUUUAUCCACGGGCCUUCAAAAUAUCCUGUAUCAGUGCUGAUAAUGUAAAGUAUUCAUCCUUAAAAUUAUCUCAUAUCAUAUCAGUAAAGAGACAAGACCUUGUUAACAUAACAGACAGUUUGUCUCCCAAAAGGCCAUACAGAGGCAAGAAGGGAAAAUAAGAGAUGUGACCUUGUUAUUUCCACAAUUGACACCAAUCAGCCUGUUGAAAGGUUUACAUACCCAUGGCUCGUAAUGUAUUUUGUUGCCUUCUUGAGGAUCAUUGAAUGUUUGUAUCUUUUGAAAUAAUUGUGUAUGAUUUUCUCAAAUGUCCCCGGUGUAUAAAGAUAAAUUUCAACCAGGCCCGGAUUCAAAGGGAAGGCCAGAGUGGGCUUGGCUCAUCCAAUUAGAAGCUUGGCCCACCCUGGCCCCACACCACAUAACAGCCAAUCUUUUGGCCAAAAAUCUGUAAUGUUAUACUAUAUUAACAGACAUGAGAAUAAUUCUUAAGAAAAAAAGCAUUUCAGAUAAAAUUUAAAUUUUUAGUUUGUUUUAGUUGAUGUAAAUAAAUAGUUAUUUUAAAAGAACUGCCCCUUUUUAACAAAGUUACUAAAUAGUUCCUAAAUAUGUAAAAAAAAAUACAAUUAAAGCAUUAAAGACCGGCCCACCUGGAAUAUCACUUGGCCCACCUUUCAUCUCAUAUCUGGAGCCGGGCUUGAUAUUGAAGAGAGUAUAGACAGUUUUUCUUGAAGAGACAGUUUUUCUUGAAGAGAGUAUAGACAGUUUGAAACAAGAGACUAAUAAAUUCACAAAAAUCAUAAAACAUAAAAACGAUCAUCAAUAUCUUAAUAUCAAGUGUAUGUAGAUUUUUCAACUGGAUUAUUUUGUUCAGUUAUUUUUGUGUCAUGUGGACUAUAUGUAAACAUCUGUUAAAAUAGCUACCCAUUUUUAGUACAAAAAUAAAAAAAUCGAUUUGUAUGAUCCCUUUAUGAUUUUCCCUACAAACAGUUAAAAAAUUGUGCAAGCUAUUUUUGGCGCCACACAGUGGUUAAGGACUAGUUCAAUCAAAUGAAACGUCUAUCAUUAUUUACUUUAGUCUAAUAUGUUAUUCCAAACUCUAUGCUGUCUUUUUGUGGACAAAUAAAAGAAUAUCUCUU